GACGAACGCUGGCGGCGCGCUUAACACAUGCAAGUCGAACGGAAAGGCCUGCUUUCCCUUGUGGAUUGCGGGUACUCGAGUGGCGAACGGGUGAGUAACACGUGAGUGAUCUGCCCCCAACUUGGGUAUAAGCCUGGGAAACUGGGUCUAAUUCCCGAUAGGACUGCAGGGUGGUGCCUGUGGUGGAAAACGAUUUUCUAGUGGUUGGGGAUGAGCUCGCGGCCUAUCAGCUUGGUGGUGGGGUAAUGGCCUACCAAGGCGGCGACGGGUAGCCGGCCUGAGAGGGUGCACGGCGACAUUGGGACUGAGACACGGCCCAGACUCCUACGGGAGGCAGCAGUGGGUAAUAUUGCACAAUGGGCGGAAGCCUGAUGCAGCGACGCCGCGUGGGGGAUGACGGCCUUCGGGUUGUAAACUCCUUUCGACCGCGAGGAAGCCACCUGGUUGGAAGGGUGGUGACGGUAGUGGUAGAAGAAGCACCGGCUAACUACGUG
RNAcentral lists this ribosomal RNA (494 nucleotides) under uncultured bacterium. RNAcentral describes it as "partial 16S ribosomal RNA". It matches the Rfam family "Bacterial small subunit ribosomal RNA", at positions 28 to 507 of the family's 1533-position model. The record is from RNAcentral.